UCUUUCUCUUCAGGUUUGGCCUCUGGCUUUGUAUCUUUCUUCACCUCCUUCUCUUCAGGCUUGGACUCUGGUUCUGCAUCUUUUGUGGCUUCUUUCUCUUCAGGUUUAGACUCUGCUUUUGCUUCUUUCUCCUCGGGUUUGGACUCUGGCUUUGCUUCCUUCUUAACCUCUUCAGGUUUGGCCUCUGGCUUUGUAUCUUUCUUCACCUCCUUCUCUUCAGGUUUGGACUCUGGUUCUGCAUCUUUUGUGGCUUCUUUCUCUGCAGGUUUGGACUCUGGCUCUGCAUCUUUUGUGGCUUCUUUCUCUGCAGGUUUGGACUCUGGUUCUGCAUCUUU
Molecule: long non-coding RNA, 335 nt
Organism: Amblyraja radiata (thorny skate)
Lineage: Eukaryota; Metazoa; Chordata; Chondrichthyes; Rajiformes; Rajidae
Exons: 3
Source: RefSeq, a predicted model, not a curated record